AUGAACGCUAGCGGCAGGCUUAACACAUGCAAGUCGAGGGGUAUAGUUCUUCGGAAUUAGAGACCGGCGCACGGGUGCGUAACGCGUAUGCAAUCUACCUUUCACAGAGGGAUAGCCCAGAGAAAUUUGGAUUAAUACCUCAUAGCAUAAUGAGUUGGCAUCAACACAUUAUUAAAGUCACAACGGUGAAAGAUGAGCAUGCGUCCCAUUAGCUUGUUGGUAAGGUAACGGCUUACCAAGGCAACGAUGGGUAGGGGUCCUGAGAGGGAGAUCCCCCACACUGGUACUGAGACACGGACCAGACUCCUACGGGAGGCAGCAGUGAGGAAUAUUGGACAAUGGGCGCAAGCCUGAUCCAGCCAUGCCGCGUGCAGGAUGACGGUCCUAUGGAUUGUAAACUGCUUUUGCACAGGAAGAAACAACUCUACGUGUAGAGUCUUGACGGUACUGUGAGAAUAAGGAUCGGCUAACUCCGU
Molecule: ribosomal RNA, 476 nt
Filed under: uncultured bacterium
Lineage: Bacteria
Description: bacterial SSU rRNA
Rfam family: Bacterial small subunit ribosomal RNA
Source: RNAcentral